RNAcentral lists this ribosomal RNA (696 nucleotides) under uncultured bacterium. RNAcentral describes it as "bacterial SSU rRNA". It matches the Rfam family "Bacterial small subunit ribosomal RNA", at positions 32 to 715 of the family's 1533-position model. The record is from RNAcentral.
AACGCUAGCUACAGGCUUAACACAUGCAAGUCGAGGGGCAGCAUGGUCUUAGCUUGCUAAGGCUGAUGGCGACCGGCGCACGGGUGAGUAACACGUAUCCAACCUGCCGUCUACUCUUGGCCAGCCUUCUGAAAGGAAGAUUAAUCCAGGAUGGGAUCAUGAGUUCACAUGUCCGCAUGAUUAAAGGUAUUUUCCGGUAGACGAUGGGGAUGCGUUCCAUUAGAUAGUAGGCGGGGUAACGGCCCACCUAGUCAACGAUGGAUAGGGGUUCUGAGAGGAAGGUCCCCCACAUUGGAACUGAGACACGGUCCAAACUCCUACGGGAGGCAGCAGUGAGGAAUAUUGGUCAAUGGGCGAUGGCCUGAACCAGCCAAGUAGCGUGAAGGAUGACUGCCCUAUGGGUUGUAAACUUCUUUUAUAAAGGAAUAAAGUCGGGUAUGCAUACCCGUUUGCAUGUACUUUAUGAAUAAGGAUCGGCUAACUCCGUGCCAGCAGCCGCGGUAAUACGGAGGAUCCGAGCGUUAUCCGGAUUUAUUGGGUUUAAAGGGAGCGUAGAUGGAUGUUUAAGUCAGUUGUGAAAGUUUGCGGCUCAACCGUAAAAUUGCAGUUGAUACUGGAUGUCUUGAGAGCAGUUGAGGCAGGCGGAAUUCGUGGUGUAGCGGUGAAAUGCUUAGAUAUCACGAAGAACUCCGAUUG